UGAUGUUAUUCAGGAACUUAACCUGCAUAUCAAAGUUCACUUUUAGUAACAGAAGAGUAGAAACAAGGAUGGCUCUGACGAUGAACUAGUUCAGUGGUACUAGAAUUUCUCUAACUGUACAGUCUCCGGUUCGAUUUCCUGUCAAAGUCCAUUAUAACAAAAAUGAAAAAUGAUGUAAAGGGCAUUUCGUGUGUACUAGCAUUAC
Molecule: unclassified non-coding RNA, 205 nt
Filed under: Hevea brasiliensis (rubber tree)
Lineage: Eukaryota; Viridiplantae; Streptophyta; Magnoliopsida; Malpighiales; Euphorbiaceae
Source: RNAcentral